GACGAACGCUGGCGGCGUGCUUAACACAUGCAAGUCGAACGGAAAGGCCCCUUUGGGGGUACUCGAGUGGCGAACGGGUGAGUAACACGUGAGUAACCUGCCCUUGACUUCGGGAUAACUUCAGUAAACUGGGGCUAAUACCGGAUAGGAAUCCUUGCUGCAUGGUGGGGGUUGGAAAGCUUCGGCGGUUUUGGAUGGACUCGCGGCUUAUCAGCUUGUUGGUGGGGUAGUGGCUUACCAAGGCUUUGACGGGUAGCCGGCCUGAGAGGGCGACCGGCCACAUUGGGACUGGGAGACGGCCCAGACUCCUACGGGGGGCAGCAGGGGGGAAUAUUGCACAAUGGGCGGAAGCCUGAUGCAGCAACGCCGCGUGCGGGAUGACGGCCUUCGGGUUGGAAACCGCUUUCAGCAGGGGCGAAGCUUGUGGUGACGGUACCUGCAGAAGAAGCACCGGCUAACUACGUG
Molecule: ribosomal RNA, 465 nt
Filed under: uncultured bacterium
Lineage: Bacteria
Description: partial 16S ribosomal RNA
Rfam family: Bacterial small subunit ribosomal RNA
Source: RNAcentral